UACGGAGGGAGCUAGCGUUGUUCGGAAUUACUGGGCGUAAAGCGCACGUAGGCGGCUUUGUAAGUUAGAGGUGAAAGCCCGGGGCUCAACUCCGGAAUUGCCUUUAAGACUGCAUCGCUAGAAUUGUGGAGAGGUAAGUGGAAUUCCGAGUGUAGAGGUGAAAUUCGUAGAUAUUCGGAAGAACACCAGUGGCGAAGGCGACUUACUGGACACGUAUUGACGCUGAGGUGCGAAAGCGUGGGGAGCAAACAGG
Molecule: ribosomal RNA, 253 nt
Filed under: uncultured bacterium
Lineage: Bacteria
Description: partial 16S ribosomal RNA
Rfam family: Bacterial small subunit ribosomal RNA
Source: RNAcentral